GACGAACGCUGGCGGCGUGCUUAACACAUGCAAGUCGAACGGAAAGGCCCCUUUUGGGGUACUCGAGUGGCGAACGGGUGAGUAACACGUGAGUAACCUGCCCUUGACUUCGGGAUAACUUCAGGAAACUGGGGCUAAUACCGGCUAGGAAUCCUUGCUGCAUGGUGGGGGUUGGAAAGCUUCGGCGGUUUUGGAUGGACUCGCGGCUUAUCAGCUUGUUGGUGGGGUAGUGGCUUACCAAGGCUUUGACGGGUAGCCGGCCUGAGAGGGCGACCGGCCACAUUGGGACUGAGAUACGGCCCAGACUCCUACGGGGGGCAGCAGUGGGGAAUAUUGCACAAUGGGCGGAAGCCUGAUGCAGCAACGCCGCGUGCGGGAUGACGGCCUUCGGGUUGUAAACCGCUUUCAGCAGGGGCGAAGCUUGUGGUGACGGUACCUGCAGAAGAAGCACCGGCUAACUACGUG
RNAcentral lists this ribosomal RNA (465 nucleotides) under uncultured bacterium. Its description in RNAcentral is "partial 16S ribosomal RNA". It matches the Rfam family "Bacterial small subunit ribosomal RNA", at positions 28 to 507 of the family's 1533-position model. The record is from RNAcentral.